GACGAACGCUGGCGGCGUGCUUAACACAUGCAAGUCGAACGGAAAGGCCCUGCUUUUGUGGGGUGCUCGCGUGGCGAACGGGUGAGUAACACGUGAGUAACCUGCCCUUGACUUUGGGAUAACUUCAGGAAACUGGGGAUAAUACCGGAUAGGAGCUCCUGCUGCAUGGUGGGGGUUGGAAAGUUUCGGCGGUUGGGGAUGGACUCGCGGCUUAUCAGCUUGUUGGUGGGGUAGUGGCUUACCAAGGCUUUGACGGGUAGCCGGCCUGGGAGGGUGACCGGCCACAUUGGGACUGAGAUACGGCCCAGACUCCUACGUGAGGCAGCAGUGGGGAAUAUUGCACAAUGGGCGGAAGCCUGAUGCAGCAACGCCGCGUGCGGGAUGACGUCCUUCGGGUUGUAAACCGCUUUCGCCUGUGCCGAAGCGUGAGUGACGGUAAUGGGUAAAGAAGCACCGGCUAACUACGUG
RNAcentral lists this ribosomal RNA (468 nucleotides) under uncultured bacterium. Its description in RNAcentral is "partial 16S ribosomal RNA". It matches the Rfam family "Bacterial small subunit ribosomal RNA", at positions 28 to 507 of the family's 1533-position model. The record is from RNAcentral.